Molecule: unclassified non-coding RNA, 382 nt
Filed under: Acetobacterium wieringae
Lineage: Bacteria; Bacillati; Bacillota; Clostridia; Eubacteriales; Eubacteriaceae
Description: cspA
Source: RNAcentral
AACUUAAAUUAACAGUAAAUGAAUUUAACAGUUUUAUUUUUAAUUGGUACUAUGCUUUACAGUAUUAUCCUAAUUUAGAAAUGUAGUUGUUAUCCGUAUUACCAGGAUUUAGGGAAUAAAAUUAGGAGGUACGCAUGAUGAAUGGUACAGUAAAAUGGUUUAACGCAGAAAAAGGAUUUGGUUUUAUUACAGGGGAAGAUGGUAAAGAUGUAUUUGCACAUUUCUCACAAAUCCAAUCGAGCGGUUAUAAAACAUUAGAAGAAGGUCAGGAAGUUUCUUUCGAAAUCACACAAGGACCUAAAGGCCCACAAGCCGAAAAUAUUCAAGUUAUUUAAGUAACAAGAACGUUUAAACUUAUGCCUGAAAACGGCAUAAGUUUUUU